This 67-nucleotide transfer RNA is filed under the name Batophila aerata. RNAcentral describes it as "tRNA-Ile". The record is from RNAcentral. Lineage: Eukaryota; Metazoa; Arthropoda; Insecta; Coleoptera; Chrysomelidae.
UAUAAGGAGCCUGAAAAUAAAAGGUUAAUUUUGAUAGAAUUAAAUAUGUAAUAACUUACCCUUAUAA